GAUGAACGCUAGCGGCAGGCUUAACACAUGCAAGUCGAGGGGCAGCACGUCUUCGGAUGGUGGCGACCGGCGCACGGGUGCGUAACGCGUAUAGAACCUACCUUUUACAGGGGAAUAGCCCAGAGAAAUUUGGAUUAAUGCCCCAUAGUAUUAUUAGAUGGCAUCAUUUGAUAAUUAAACAUUUAUGGGUAAAAGAUGGCUAUGCGUUCUAUUAGCUAGAUGGUAAGGUAACGGCUUACCAUGGCGACGAUAGAUAGGGGUCCUGAGAGGGAGAUCCCCCACACUGGUACUGAGACACGGACCAGACUCCUACGGGAGGCAGCAGUGAGGAAUAUUGGACAAUGGGCGAGAGCCUGAUCCAGCCAUGCCGCGUGCAGGAAGACGGUCCUAUGGAUUGUAAACUGCUUUUUAUACAGGAAGAACACUCCCUCGUGAGGGAAUUUGACGGUACUGUAUGAAUAAGCACCGGCUAACUCCGUGCCAGCAGCCG
RNAcentral lists this ribosomal RNA (490 nucleotides) under uncultured bacterium. RNAcentral's name for it is "bacterial SSU rRNA". It matches the Rfam family "Bacterial small subunit ribosomal RNA", at positions 28 to 517 of the family's 1533-position model. The record is from RNAcentral.